UACGUAGGGUGCGAGCGUUGCCCGGAUUUAUUGGGCGUAAAGGGCGCGUAGGCGGCCACGCACGUCCGUUGUGAAAUCGCCCGGCUCAACUGGGCGGGGUCAGCGGAUACGGUGUGGCUCGAGCAAGCUAGGGGGCAAUGGAAUUCCCGGUGUAGUGGUGGAAUGCGUAGAGAUCGGAAGGAACACCAGUGGCGAAGGCGGCUACCUGGACAAAUACUGACGCUGAUGCGCGAAAGCGUGGGGAUCAAACAGG
RNAcentral lists this ribosomal RNA (253 nucleotides) under uncultured bacterium. Its description in RNAcentral is "partial 16S ribosomal RNA". It matches the Rfam family "Bacterial small subunit ribosomal RNA", at positions 524 to 776 of the family's 1533-position model. The record is from RNAcentral.